This 464-nucleotide ribosomal RNA is filed under the name uncultured bacterium. RNAcentral's name for it is "partial 16S ribosomal RNA". It matches the Rfam family "Bacterial small subunit ribosomal RNA", at positions 28 to 507 of the family's 1533-position model. The record is from RNAcentral.
GACGAACGCUGGCGGCGUGCUUAACACACGCAAGUCGAACGGAAAGGCCCCUUUGGGGGUACUCGAGUGGCGAACGGGUGAGUAACACGUGAGUAACCUGCCCUUGACUUCGGGAUAACUUCAGGAAACUGGGGCUAAUACCGGAUAGGAAUCCUUGCUGCAUGGUGGGGGUUGGAAAGCUUCGGCGGUUUUGGAUGGACUCGCGGCUUAUCAGCUUGUUGGUGGGGUAGUGGCUUACCAAGGCUUUGACGGGUAGCCGGCCUGAGAGGGCGACCGGCCACAUUGGGACUGAGAUACGGCCCAGACUCCUACGGGAGGCAGCAGUGGGGAAUAUUGCACAAUGGGCGGAAGCCUGAUGCAGCAACGCCGCGUGCGGGAUGACGGCCUUCGGGUUGUAAACCGCUUUCAGCAGGGGCGAAGCUUUUGUGACGGUACCUGCAGAAGAAGCACCGGCUAACUACGUG